GACGGAGGGGGCAAGCGUUGUCCGGACUCACUGGGCGUAAAGGGUGCGUAGGCGGUUGUGUGCGUCGGCGCUGAAAUCACGAGGCUUAACUUCGUGGCGCGUGCCGAUACGACACGACUUGAGGCUCUGAGAGGGUGGCGGAACUCCUGGUGUAGUGGUGAAAUGCGUAGAGAUCAGGAAGAACACCCGUGGCGCAAGCGGCCACCUGGCAGAGUUCUGACGCUGGGGCACGAAAGCGUGGGGAGCGAACCGG
RNAcentral lists this ribosomal RNA (253 nucleotides) under uncultured bacterium. RNAcentral describes it as "partial 16S ribosomal RNA". It matches the Rfam family "Bacterial small subunit ribosomal RNA", at positions 524 to 776 of the family's 1533-position model. The record is from RNAcentral.